This is a long non-coding RNA of Epinephelus moara (kelp grouper), 590 nucleotides long. RefSeq lists it as uncharacterized. The record is from RefSeq and is a predicted model, not a curated record. NCBI's taxonomy places the organism in Eukaryota, Metazoa, Chordata, Actinopteri, Perciformes, Serranidae. The transcript has 2 exons.
UGUGUGUGGGCUCAGUGUGGAAAAGCUGGGAGCUUCUGAAGCCAGGAUUCACUGAGGUCUUGGAUAAAGUGGCAUCAUCUGACAAGUUCAAGGGUCGUGUCCGUGGCUACAGCCUCUUGAUUUUGCAGCAGUCUUCAGCUCUCGGUGGUGCUAGCCUAGGGGCUCAGAGUGUGGGCACCCCCAUCACCAUGGAUUACAAAGCCAAUGCCAAAGUCUUCUACCAACAUACUUUUAACAGCAGCCAAUGAGAGCGUAGCUGCACGUCUGGUAGAUCUCAGCUGAAGGGAAAUUGUAUUGGUUAUUAUAUAAUUAUCAGCAUCUUCGCUAAUGACACUUGCUAUAAUGAUGAUAAAUGGUGAUGAUAAUGGUUGUGUAAUAAUGGUUUAGAUCUUGAUUUGAUGUCAGCACAAAAUACCAAGAAGAUGGUUGGAAAUAUUGAAAAUGUUGGCUUUUACAGAUGCAUAGUGCCUGUUUAAACAUUUGAAUUCAUAUUACUUUCAUUGUACUGUAAUUGCAAAUCUUUGCACCUUUACAACACUUGUUUACAUUUGACAUUUAUAAUAAAAAUGCUGCUUCAGGGUUGCAAAAAA